UACGUAGGGCGCAAGCGUUGUCCGGAAUUAUUGGGCGUAAAGAACUCGUAGGCGGUCUGUCGCGUCCGUUGUGAAAACUCGAGGCUCAACCUCGGGCUUGCAGUGGAUACGGGCAGACUAGAGUGCGGUAGGGGAGACUGGAAUUCCUGGUGUAGCGGUGGAAUGCGCAGAUAUCAGGAGGAACACCGAUGGCGAAGGCAGGUCUCUGGGCCGCAACUGACGCUGAGGAGCGAAAGCAUGGGGAGCGAACAGG
Molecule: ribosomal RNA, 253 nt
Filed under: uncultured bacterium
Lineage: Bacteria
Description: partial 16S ribosomal RNA
Rfam family: Bacterial small subunit ribosomal RNA
Source: RNAcentral